GACGAACGCUGGCGGCGUGCUUAACACAUGCAAGUCGAACGGAAAGGCCCUGCAUUUGUGGGGUGCUCGAGUGGCGAACGGGUGAGUAACACGUGAGUAACCUGCCCUUGACUUUGGGAUAACUUCAGGAAACUGGGGCUAAUACCGGAUAGGAGCUCCUGCUGCAUGGUGGGGGUUGGAAAGUUUCGGCGGUUGGGGAUGGACUCGCGGCUUAUCAGCUUGUUGGUGGGGUAGUGGCUUACCAAGGCUUUGACGGGUAGCAGGCCUGAGAGGGUGACCGGCCACAUUGGGACUGAGAUACGGCACAGACUCCUACGGGAGGCAGCAGUGGGGAAUAUUGCACAAUGGGCGGAAGCCUGAUGCAGCAACGCCGCGUGCGGGAUGACGGCCUUCGGGUUGUAAACCGCUUUCGCCUGUGACGAAGCGUGAGUGACGGUAAUGGGUAAAGAAGCACCGGCUAACUACGUG
This 468-nucleotide ribosomal RNA is filed under the name uncultured bacterium. Its description in RNAcentral is "partial 16S ribosomal RNA". It matches the Rfam family "Bacterial small subunit ribosomal RNA", at positions 28 to 507 of the family's 1533-position model. The record is from RNAcentral.